GGAGGGAAGCUCAUCAGUGGGGCCACGAGCUGAGUGCGUCACGUCACUCCACCCCAAUGUCCCUUGGGAAGGUCUGAGACAAGGGCCUGAGGCAGCCCUAACAGGGCUCUCCCUGAAUGUCGGGGAGAAAAAAACCGGCUGCUGUGUGCCGCCGUUCAGAAUGAAUGAUGUGUGAAAGCCGUAACGUGAAACAUGGAGAACCUGGGGCAAGAAACCUACGAGGAUGCACACUUCAUCAUUAAGGCUACCUGAUGCCAACCCAGGUGAACUGGGGACCAAAGUGAGGUCCAAACUGUAACUGUACAAUGACUAUUUGUAACCUAAUCCUGAACUGU
RNAcentral lists this RNase P RNA (335 nucleotides) under Carlito syrichta (Philippine tarsier). RNAcentral's name for it is "Nuclear RNase P (ENSTSYG00000035017.1)". It matches the Rfam family "Nuclear RNase P". Rfam says of the family: Ribonuclease P (RNase P) is a ubiquitous endoribonuclease, found in archaea, bacteria and eukarya as well as chloroplasts and mitochondria. Its best characterised activity is the generation of mature 5'-ends of tRNAs by cleaving the 5'-leader elements of precursor-tRNAs. Lineage: Eukaryota; Metazoa; Chordata; Mammalia; Primates; Tarsiidae. The record is from Rfam by way of RNAcentral.